UCCUAUCCUGUCCAUCCAACCAAACAAAUAAAACCAGGACUUCUAAAAGCUGGAUGACAAUCUCCCAUCCAGCUUCAUCCAAGCAACCAAAUGCAACUUAAAGAUACAGUAGUCGUCCUGUGAACUUGCAUUAAAAGUGAAGGUUCACCGAGAAAUUCUCUGUUGGUUUACCUGAAAGGGCAUGUACCAUGGCCUCAGUCGCAUAUGAAUAGAAACAAAGCCAAGGUUAGUUGGUGGCACUAAUUCAACUUGAAUUUUUGUUGCUCAAUUUCAAUAAUAUAGUCUGAAAUAGCAGAGGGGAAUACAUAGAAGAAUGUUUACCUCUUGUCUCAUGUCCUUGCGACGCCUUUG
RNAcentral lists this long non-coding RNA (351 nucleotides) under Triticum aestivum (bread wheat). RNAcentral describes it as "long non-coding RNA (TAES_LNC006736)". The record is from RNAcentral. Lineage: Eukaryota; Viridiplantae; Streptophyta; Magnoliopsida; Poales; Poaceae.